CUCUAGCUGUCAAUCAGAGAAGCAGGGAGGGUUCUCCCUGCUUCUGUUACCUCCUCUGAGCAAACGGAAGUGGCUGGCGCUCUAUCCUUGAGAACAUCAGACUCUCCCCUGAAUGAGAAGCCUGUGAUAGGCUCUUUCCCCGUGAAGAGACUAAGUCUAUUCCACAAAAAAUAUUAAGAAGAGGGCUGUAAAGCCUGCAGUUCAUUAGAACUGCAGCUUUUGCAAACUGUUUUAAGUUAUACCCCCAAUGAAUACAUUCAUGAAAAUACAUGCAUGUAUUCAUUGA
Molecule: non-coding RNA, 286 nt
Organism: Pelobates cultripes (western spadefoot toad)
Lineage: Eukaryota; Metazoa; Chordata; Amphibia; Anura; Pelobatidae
Source: the annotation of a GenBank genome assembly